This 523-nucleotide long non-coding RNA is filed under the name Lupinus mutabilis. RNAcentral's name for it is "partial ncRNA". Lineage: Eukaryota; Viridiplantae; Streptophyta; Magnoliopsida; Fabales; Fabaceae. The record is from RNAcentral.
AUUUGAGUUACAUUGAGUUUGUUUCUAGUGAUUUUUCAUUUCAAUUUGUGUUCAUCUUUUCUCUUAAUUAUGUCUUCUAAUGGUGAUCAAAUGGCCAACGGAUCUGGUGACGAAGUUGAUGGAAGACCACAACAGCGAAAACCUGAAGGACCAACUGACCCGCCUGCAGGAAGAGGUGGUAGAAGGGAAGUUGACGGGCCAGCCCCUGUUUGGGAUGAUGAUCCUAAUCAUCCUGGUAACCUAGCGGUUGCGGGAAUCGCAGCAGAAGCUAGUAGAAUAGUUUUUAUACCCAAGAGAUCACCGCAUGACAUUAACCUCGCAGACCAUAUACGCAAUGAUAGAAAUGAUAGAGAUGAUGAAGAUGAUGAAGAUGAUAGAGAUGAUAGAAAUGCAAGAAGUGCAAGAAAUGCAAGAAAUGCAAGAAACCGAUAGCUGAAUCCGAAUCAAAUACCAGUCAAAUUAUACAACAGUCGUUCGUGUAAUCUUUUACCUUCUUGGUUUACUUUGUAUUUGCAACUCCUUA